This 312-nucleotide ribosomal RNA is filed under the name Triticum aestivum (bread wheat). RNAcentral describes it as "partial small subunit ribosomal RNA". The record is from RNAcentral. Lineage: Eukaryota; Viridiplantae; Streptophyta; Magnoliopsida; Poales; Poaceae.
AUGCUGAGCUCUCCAUUCUUCCCUCAAGGCUGGACAAAGAAGGCGGAGCGGAUUCGAUGUCCGGCUCCGUUACCCGAAGACCCAGCCAUUCCCUUGCUAACGAAGAUGCUGAUCCCAGUGCCGUACGAGGCACCGGAGAAGAAGGCCAAGAAGAAGGGCAAGGAGGCCAAAAGUGGCCUUCGCCGUAAAGGUGCUUCGGAUGUGGUGUCCGAAGAUACCGAAGUUCUCUCCUCCCAUGAAGGAGAUGAGGAUCAGCAUGCCGAGACCAUCCCCCCAUGGCGCCCCAGGGCGAAGCCCCUAGCCAAAUCGUAA